UUACAGGUAAACUACGUGAAGCGUUCCUCUUUUGACUUCGUAACUCAUUUGAAAUUUUCCUCAUUAGCUUUGCAAAUUUGAAAAACUCUUUGCAAAUCCCUUGAGGGAAUUUGCAAUGUUCCUAUCGGCUGUUGCAAUAUUCCAAACUUCAUUUUAAAUUUUCCUAACUUCCUGUUUUAAUUUCCUAACUUCCUGUUCUGUUCUGAGCGUUGUUAUUGGUCGAUUAUUUUUGUUGGCCAAUUGCAACGCCCAGAACAGAACAGGAAGUUAGGAACUUGUAACAGGAAGUUAAGAACUUCUAACAGGAACUGAGGAAAUUUUUUUUGCUUUUAGCAACAUUGCAAAUUCCCUCAAGGGAUUUGCAAGGGAGUUUUGCAAAUUUGCUAAGGUAAUGACGAAAAUUGCAAUCAACUUAGGAACUCAAAAGAGGAACGCU
Paramuricea clavata is the source of this 436-nucleotide non-coding RNA. The record is from the annotation of a GenBank genome assembly. NCBI's taxonomy places the organism in Eukaryota, Metazoa, Cnidaria, Anthozoa, Malacalcyonacea, Plexauridae.